Molecule: ribosomal RNA, 253 nt
Filed under: uncultured bacterium
Lineage: Bacteria
Description: partial 16S ribosomal RNA
Rfam family: Bacterial small subunit ribosomal RNA
Source: RNAcentral
UACGUAGGGGGCUAGCGUUGUCCGGAAUCAUUGGGCGUAAAGCGCGCGUAGGCGGCCCGGUAAGUCCGCUCUGAAAGUCCAGGGCUCAACCCUGGAAUGCGGGUGGAUACUGCCGGGCUAGAGUCCGGAAGAGGCGAGUGGAAUUCCUGGUGUAGCGGUGAAAUGCGCAGAUAUCGGGAGGAACACCAAUGGCGAAGGCAGCUCGCUGGGACGUUACUGACGCUGAGACGCGAAAGCGUGGGGAGCAAACAGG